RNAcentral lists this long non-coding RNA (303 nucleotides) under Scleropages formosus (Asian bonytongue). RNAcentral's name for it is "lncRNA (ENSSFOG00015028402.1)". Lineage: Eukaryota; Metazoa; Chordata; Actinopteri; Osteoglossiformes; Osteoglossidae. The record is from RNAcentral.
GGAAAGGGGAGGGGCGGCGGAAGUGGAGACGAGGCACAGCUUUCUGGAGGUCUUCAGGAGCUGCUUCGUCAGUCCAGGUCCUUUCGUCCCCUGUCUUCACUCUCCCUCAGACAUGUUGAAACACUGAGCAGAAAGCAUUCCUUACUCAAAGUACUUCACCCGAGCCCUACGCCCCCCCUUCGUCCAUCAGCACGCACGUAAGAACUUGUGUUCUCAUAACAGCACUGAGCUUUGGUGAUUUGGACUGUUGCAUGAGGUGGAGGUGUGAGGAGACAUAGCCAUGUUUUUAUGGAGUUAUUUAGU